CCUACGGGAGGCAGCAGUGAGGAAUAUUGGUCAAUGGACGCAAGUCUGAACCAGCCAUGCCGCGUGCAGGAAGACGGCUCUUUGAAUUGUAAACUGCUUUUGUCGGGGGGUAAACGCGGAUACGCGUAUCUGUCUGCACGUAUCCUACGAAUAAGGAUCGGCUAACUCCGUGCCAGCAGCCGCGGUAAUACGGAGGAUUCAAGCGUUAUCCGGAUUUAUUGGGUUUAAAGGGUGCGUAGGCGGUCGGAUAAGUUAGGGGUGAAAUCCCGAGGCUCAAAUUCGGACUUGCCGUUGAUACUGUUCGGCUAGAGAGUAGUAGCGGUAGGCGGAAUGUAUGGUGUAGCGGUGAAAUGCAUAGAGAUCACACAGAACACCGAUUGCGAAGGCAGCUUACCAAGCUACGUCUGACGUUGAGGCACGAAAGCGUGGGGAGCAAACAGGAUUAGAUACCCUAGUAGUC
Molecule: ribosomal RNA, 460 nt
Filed under: uncultured bacterium
Lineage: Bacteria
Description: partial 16S ribosomal RNA
Rfam family: Bacterial small subunit ribosomal RNA
Source: RNAcentral